AGGAAGCCUCUGGGGCCGAGAGACCCAGGGAAGGGUCAGAGUGGGGAUCGAUGUUGGGGGAAUUGGGGCUACACUGAGGACUGUAAAUAAAAAGACACAGGUGAAACAACUGAGAGAGGCGUUGGGACCCCUUCUUUGACCAGCCUAAGCACACGAGGCCAGUAACGUGUGCGGACCCUGUGAUGCUGACCCAUUACUUGCCUAUAACAAGACAACACCAAAAGUGAAAGAAGGGUGGUGCCCUUCAGCGAUGCACUGGUGCUGUGAAGACCUGAACCGCGCACGCACAGCCACUGGGAUGGACUGUGCCACUUGUCGGUUAAAGAACUGGAACAUGAAGCUGUUGGGUUUUGUGAAUCUGAAGGAGUGCAAUUUAACCUUGAGUUAUGUAUCAAAAUCCCCCGUUUCAGCAUAAAAACUGCAUAUGUACCUAUUUAAUGAAUAAGACCCUUAAGCUAGGAAGGUGAGGACUAAAUGAACAUGGAACUUCAGCUACCUGGUCCUGCUUCUCGAGGUCAGGAUUUGAAACAAAGUGGUGGAGCAGUGUGUGAAUACAAAAGCUGUAUAGCAGUGGAAGGCUCUAUCUUCAUACUGGCUGAAAACAACACAGUUGCUUCUCUGCAAAGAGUCCAUCACGCAAAUCCUGACCAAACAACCAGCAGACUGCUAACCCAGUCUGGAAAGCGACUUUGUUAACAAUGAUAAAUCACUCUCAAAAUAGAGCUGGCACUUAGCACAUCCCUACCAUUCCUCCACGAUCGUUGUUAGAGCAUCCAUCGUGGGUCCCAGAGGCACAGAGACGCAUGUUAGUUUUGAGCUAGAUUUUUUUCCUAUCGCCCUCCCCCCCUUUUGAAAUGGAGCUGUGAUAGGCUGGAGAAGAGACAACCCCUACAUUCCUUAGCUUCUCCUUUCCACCCCAAUGUCUUAGGUAGAUGUGGGGUGCAAGGCCAGUUCCACUUCCUGUCUCUGCCCUUUCUCUUUUCCACAACAGUUCUCUGAAAGCCCUAUUUUGGAGUGUCCACCCCCACACAAUGCAGAGCAGAUUAAAUUAGGUCACUUAACCUGAUAGGCUGCAUGGGGGUGGGGGGAAGGGGAACACUAAGGCUUGAAAGGCAGACUGAGGCUAGAGCCCAACUGAGGAGGAACAGGCAGGGCUAAUCUAAUGCCAGGAAGGUAGCUUGUAGUGACUUUCUGGGUGGUAGAGAGGGAGGGAAGGAAACCCAGGAGGGGUUAACUCUAAUGGGCCCUGCAUGGAGAUGUGAGCACAGCAGGAUGGGUGGGAGACAAAGCUCAUCUCUUCCAGGAGCUCCUCCCCCAAAGCAGCUUGACAUCUGUGGAGCAUCUGCAAAGCCUUUUUUGCAUCCCUUCUCCAUGGGACCUCCAUCCAAUGCAGAGCUGGUUCCUGCAGGAGUAACAUGUUUACUUACUUGUCCAUAAUAAUAGCCAGUGCUUGGUCCUUAAAAUGGGCUUCUUUUUUAGACUUUAGAACAUACUUUUUGUUCCUUAGGUACGCAGCAGCCAGGCAGUUUAAGAGUUGGGUAUUCAUGUUUUUUGUGGAUGUUAAUGGGCUGGACUUGUGUGGUGGAAGGAUGCAAGUCUCUCUGGGCUUUACUAUUCUCUGUAUAUGUCUCAUUUCCUCAUCUUUCAGCAUCAAUCUUCUCUUUCUCUAAAGUAACUUUCAAAUGGAAACACCAAACUGACCAUCCACAAUGAAAAAAAGUUUCCCUCUUCUCAAACCUCUACAUGAUCUCAUGAGCCUCUUGCUCCCAUAGAUUGUCAACCCUGGCUUCCACAGUAGUAAUAGGGACCAUCUUCUAUAGGGAUCCUGUAGGGACAGGACUGCUUCACUUCCAUUGUAGCCCAUGUGCUACCAAGGCUGUAUGGUCCAGUGGACCUAGGAACAUACUACAAACCUAGCGACAGCAUCAUUUCUCUAAUACAAAGUUACGGUGUCCGGCUAGCCAAAGUGAUUUUACGGCUCUCUAUUUUCAAUGGAAAACUGCCUCCUCUGAAGAUGAAUUCCCUGAAGCCAGCAACUCCGUGUUUAUAGCAGCACAAUGCAGGGUUCCAAUCACAACAGUGAGCUUCUGUCAAGGAAAAAAAUCAUCUCAAUGUGCCAAAUAAAAAAUCCAAGCCUUAAUGGAUGCUUUGGUUGCUGACCAUAAAAGCAAAAGCCUGCUGCCACUUAGGUGAUGGAUUUCUUUUAGUAGGCAGCCACCAUUUUGUUUACAAGGAAAUUUCCACCAUUAGUAUGUACACAAACUGCUUACGGUUGUUUGAUUGGUUUUUUAGCAAAAGAUGACAAAGGAGAAAUGAGAUAUCUGUUAGAUUGAAUUAAGCAGUCUGUUACUACAGCUGUAUUACUAAGUUACGUUUAAUUGCUCAGCAUUUAUGAGAUUCAUAGUUUAUUGUCUUUCUUGCCACACAAUAGGCUGGGUAAGUUAAAGAGCUCUAAGUUUCUAAGGCUAGAGUUUUUGGGUGCCUGCCAGCACUGAUCUGUUUAACAAACAAGCUGCAGGGUGCUUAUUAGUAGGUUGUGAUUUGCAAACCAUGAAGCCUCUGGGGCCAGAUGCACUGAUCAAAUAGGAAAUCUAUAUAUCAGUGAGACCAUUAGAUGAAAAAGAGGCGCACCAUUGAGUAUAAAUAUGUUUUUCAGAGGCUUCAAUUAGGCCAUUGUAAAUGACUUUUGUAACUUUCUGUUGACCUAGCAGUCUAAAUAUUAAACAUUAGUAUAAGCAACAUUUGUUUCAAAUUGCUUCUAUUAGAAUUUCCUGAUGAGCGAUAAUUAUAUGAACUCAGUACUAAAAGAACAAGUACUUAAUUGCUUUAAUUUAUUUGUAUUUAUUUCAAUGUAACACAUGCUGCCUAUCUGCCACCAAAGAUGCUUAUUCAUUAUUCAUAAAAGCACAACAAAAAUUAAUGAAUCAAGAACUACAUAAGGCCAGAUGAUGAGUUGGUCUGAAUCAGCACAGUGCCAUGGAAGCCAAGAUGAUUUGUUUGGCUCGCCAAAGUCAAUGGAGCUAUGACAAUCUACAGUAGCCAAAGA
This is a long non-coding RNA of Mauremys mutica (yellowpond turtle), 3046 nucleotides long. RefSeq lists it as uncharacterized. Lineage: Eukaryota; Metazoa; Chordata; Testudines; Geoemydidae. The record is from RefSeq and is a predicted model, not a curated record. The transcript has 5 exons.